GUCCCAGUUCGGAUUGUAGUCUGCAACCCGACUACAUGAAGCUGGAAUCGCUAGUAAUCGCGAAUCAGCAUGUCGCGGUGAAUACGUUCCCGGGUCUUGUACACACCGCCCGUCACACCAUGGGAGUUGGUAACGCCCGAAGUCAGUGACCUAACCGCAAGGGAGGAGCUGCCGAAGGUGGGGCCAGUAACUGGGGUGAAGUCGUAACAAGGUACC
RNAcentral lists this ribosomal RNA (216 nucleotides) under uncultured bacterium. RNAcentral's name for it is "partial 16S ribosomal RNA". It matches the Rfam family "Bacterial small subunit ribosomal RNA", at positions 1285 to 1500 of the family's 1533-position model. The record is from RNAcentral.